This 984-nucleotide ribosomal RNA is filed under the name uncultured cyanobacterium. RNAcentral's name for it is "bacterial SSU rRNA". It matches the Rfam family "Bacterial small subunit ribosomal RNA", at positions 554 to 1533 of the family's 1533-position model. Lineage: Bacteria; Bacillati; Cyanobacteriota. The record is from RNAcentral.
UUGGGCGUAAAGGGUCCGCAGGUGGCGAAUAAAGUCUGCUGUUAAAGACCGGGGCUAAACUCCGGAAAGGCAGUGGAAACUGAUUAGCUAGAGUACGGUAGGGGUAGAGGGAAUUCCCAGUGUAGCGGUGAAAUGCGUAGAUAUUGGGAAGAACACCGGUGGCGAAAGCGCUCUACUAGACCGAAACUGACACUGAGGGACGAAAGCUAGGGUAGCGAAAGGGAUUAGAUACCCCUGUAGUCUUAGCGGUAAACGAUGGAUACUAGGUGUAGCUUGUAUCGACCCGAGCUGUGCCGAAGCUAACGCGAUAAGUAUCCCGCCUGGGGAGUACGCACGCAAGUGUGAAACUCAAAGGAAUUGACGGGGGCCCGCACAAGCGGUGGAGUAUAUGGUUUAAUUCGAUGCAACGCGAAGAACCUUACCAGGGCUUGACAUGUCGCGAAUCUAGCGGAAACGUUAGAGUGCCUUAGGGAAUGCGAACACAGGUGGUGCAUGGCUGUCGUCGGCUCGUGUCGUGAGAUGUUGGGUUAAGUCCCGCAACGAGCGCAACCCUCGUCCUUAGUUGCCAAUAUUAAGUUAGGCACUCUAGGGAGACUGCCGGGGACAACUCGGAGGAAGGUGGGGAUGACGUCAGGUCAGCAUGCCCCUUACGUCCUGGGCGACACACGUACUACAAUGGUUGGGACAAAGGGCAGCAAACUCGCGAGAGUAAGCGAAUCUCAUCAAACCCAGCCACAGUUCAGAUUGCAGGCUGCAACUCGCCUGCAUGAAGUAGGAAUCGCUAGUAAUCGCAGGUCAGCAUACUGCGGUGAAUUCGUUCCCGGGCCUUGUACACACCGCCCGUCACACCAUGGAAGCUGGCUACGCCCGAAGUCGUUACCCUAACCCGGUUUUGGGAGGGGGAUGCCGAAGGUAGAGCUAGUGACUGGGGUGAAGUCGUAACAAGGUAGCCGUACCGGAAGGUGUGGCUGGAACACCUCCUUU